UCCUAGCUUGUACUGUCUUCCUGCCUCUGG
RNAcentral lists this non-coding RNA (30 nucleotides) under Rattus norvegicus (Norway rat). The record is from RNAcentral. Lineage: Eukaryota; Metazoa; Chordata; Mammalia; Rodentia; Muridae.